RNAcentral lists this ribosomal RNA (511 nucleotides) under uncultured bacterium. RNAcentral's name for it is "bacterial SSU rRNA". It matches the Rfam family "Bacterial small subunit ribosomal RNA", at positions 28 to 528 of the family's 1533-position model. The record is from RNAcentral.
GAUGAACGCUAGCGAUAGGCCUAACACAUGCAAGUCGAGGGGCAUCACAUGAGGCAGCAAUGCCGAUGGUGGCGACCGGCGCACGGGUGAGUAACACGUAUGCAACCUGCCUUCAACAAGGGGAUAACCCGUUGAAAGACGGACUAAUACCCUAUAACACAGGGGUCCCGCAUGGGGAUAUUUGUUAAAGGACAACCGGUUGAAGAUGGGCAUGCGUUCCAUUAGCUAGUUGGCGGGGUAAGGCCCACCAAGGCAACGAUGGAUAGGGGAACUGAGAGGUUUAUCCCCCACACUGGUACUGAGACACGGACCAGACUCCUACGGGAGGCAGCAGUGAGGAAUAUUGGUCAAUGGACGCAAGUCUGAACCAGCCACGUCGCGUGAAGGAAGACGGCCCUACGGGUUGUAAACUUCUUUUGCAAGGGAAUAAAGUGGGCCACGUGUGGCCUUUUGCAAGUACCUUGCGAAUAAGGAUCGGCUAACUCCGUGCCAGCAGCCGCGGUAAUUACGC